UUAUUAGUGCUGCCCGUGUCGAUGAGAACAGUGAUCGGUUGUUGUUUGAGAAGGCCUCCAACUUUCAUCGUUUGCGAGUUUGAGUAGCCAGCUAGUGUAUGUACCGUAACUUUGGUCGGUUGUGGCUCUUCUUCUGCAUCAUUUUCUUCAUGUUCAAGGCUCUCUUCUGAAUGUUCAAUGACCUCUUCUUCUAUCAGUUCAAUCAUAAGAAG
RNAcentral lists this long non-coding RNA (212 nucleotides) under Musa acuminata (dwarf banana). Its description in RNAcentral is "long non-coding RNA (MACU_LNC006977)". The record is from RNAcentral. Lineage: Eukaryota; Viridiplantae; Streptophyta; Magnoliopsida; Zingiberales; Musaceae.